This 73-nucleotide transfer RNA is filed under the name Pangasius djambal. Its description in RNAcentral is "tRNA-Glu". Lineage: Eukaryota; Metazoa; Chordata; Actinopteri; Siluriformes; Pangasiidae. The record is from RNAcentral.
UCUCUGGUGGUCUAGCGGCAAAGGAUCCUGCGCUCUCACCGCCGUGGCCCGGGUUGGAUUCCCAGGUAGGGAA